GACAGAGGUGCCGAGCGUUAGGCGGAAUCACUGGGCUUAAAGCGCGUGUAGGUGGCGGCCUAAGUACCUUGUGAAAUCCUGCGGCUCAACCGCAGAACUGCUUGGUAUACUGGGUCGCCUGAGUCAUCCAGGGGCAACUGGAACAAGCGGUGGAGCGGUGAAAUGCGUAGAUAUCGCUUGGAACGCCAAAGGUGAAAACAGGUUGCUGGGGAUGUUCUGACACUGAGACGCGAAAGCCAGGGGAGCGAACGGG
RNAcentral lists this ribosomal RNA (253 nucleotides) under uncultured bacterium. RNAcentral describes it as "partial 16S ribosomal RNA". It matches the Rfam family "Bacterial small subunit ribosomal RNA", at positions 524 to 776 of the family's 1533-position model. The record is from RNAcentral.